Molecule: ribosomal RNA, 357 nt
Filed under: Theileria annulata
Lineage: Eukaryota; Apicomplexa; Aconoidasida; Piroplasmida; Theileriidae
Description: SSU rRNA
Rfam family: Eukaryotic small subunit ribosomal RNA
Source: RNAcentral
CCUCUUCCAGAGUAUCAAUUGGAGGGCAAGUCUGGUGCCAGCAGCCGCGGUAAUUCCAGCUCCAAUAGCGUAUAUUAAAAUUGUUGCAGUUAAAAAGCUCGUAGUUGAAUUUCUGCUGCAUUGCUUGUGUCCCUCUGGGGUCUGUGCAUGUGGCUUUUUUCGGACGGAGUUUCUUUGUCUGAAUGUUUACUUUGAGAAAAUUAGAGUGCUCAAAGCAGGCUUUCGCCUUGAAUAGUUUAGCAUGGAAUAAUAAAGUAGGACUUUGGUUCUAUUUUGUUGGUUUUAGGUACCAAAGUAAUGGUUAAUAGGAACAGUUGGGGGCAUUCGUAUUUAACUGUCAGAGGUGAAAUUCUUAGA